UACGUAGGGGACGAGCGUUGUCCGGAUUCAUUGGGCGUAAAGCGCGUGUAGGCGGUCCGGUAAGUCCGCUGUGAAAGUCGAGGGCUCAACCCUCGAAUGCCGGUGGAUACUGUCGGGCUAGAGUACGGAAGAGGCGAGUGGAAUUCCUGGUGUAGCGGUGAAAUGCGCAGAUAUCAGGAGGGACACCAAUUGCGAAGGCAGCUCGCUGGGACGUUACUGACGCUGAGACGCGAAAGCGUGGGGAGCAAACAGG
RNAcentral lists this ribosomal RNA (253 nucleotides) under uncultured bacterium. Its description in RNAcentral is "partial 16S ribosomal RNA". It matches the Rfam family "Bacterial small subunit ribosomal RNA", at positions 524 to 776 of the family's 1533-position model. The record is from RNAcentral.